AUUGAACGCUGGCGGCAGGCCUAACACAUGCAAGUCGAACGGUAACAGGAAGAAGCUUGCUUCUUUGCUGACGAGUGGCGGACGGGUGAGUAAUGUCUGGGAAACUGCCUGAUGUAGGGGGAUAACUACUGGAAACGGUAGCUAAUACCGCAUAACGUCGCAAGACCAAAGAGGGGGACCUUCGGGCCUCUUGCCAUCGGAUGUGCCCAGAUGGGAUUAGCUAGUAGGUGGGGUAACGGCUCACCUAGGCGACGAUCCCUAGCUGGUCUGAGAGGAUGACCAGCCACACUGGAACUGAGACACGGUCCAGACUCCUACGGGAGGCAGCAGUGGGGAAUAUUGCACAAUGGGCGCAAGCCUGAUGCAGCCAUGCCGCGUGUAUGAAGAAGGCCUUCGGGUUGUAAAGUACUUUCAGCGGGGAGGAAGGGAGUAAAGUUAAUACCUUUGCUCAUUGACGUUACCCGCAGAAGAAGCACCGGCUAACUCCGUG
This 490-nucleotide ribosomal RNA is filed under the name uncultured bacterium. RNAcentral describes it as "partial 16S ribosomal RNA". It matches the Rfam family "Bacterial small subunit ribosomal RNA", at positions 30 to 507 of the family's 1533-position model. The record is from RNAcentral.